GUGGAGUGUAUAUGGAGGUUGUGAGUAGGUCAACAUGGAAUCGAUCACUCCUAGUAAAAGGAGAUUGUAUCUUGUGUAUUCUCAAUCCUAGAUGACUUAAGAAAAGUCUUUUGGCUAAAAGUAGAAAGGAGAUUAGAAAGAGUUUUUAAUACUUCUUUAUUGGAGUCAUCAUUGGUUAAUGGAGAAUCAAUAUGAAUAUGUGUUUGAGUU
RNAcentral lists this long non-coding RNA (210 nucleotides) under Elaeis guineensis (African oil palm). RNAcentral describes it as "long non-coding RNA (EGUI_LNC075411)". Lineage: Eukaryota; Viridiplantae; Streptophyta; Magnoliopsida; Arecales; Arecaceae. The record is from RNAcentral.